This 489-nucleotide ribosomal RNA is filed under the name uncultured bacterium. Its description in RNAcentral is "partial 16S ribosomal RNA". It matches the Rfam family "Bacterial small subunit ribosomal RNA", at positions 32 to 523 of the family's 1533-position model. The record is from RNAcentral.
AAUCAACGCUGGCGGCGUGCCUAACACAUGCAAGUCGAGCGAGAAAAGGGGAGCAAUCCCCUGAGUACAGCGGCGCACGGGUGAGUAACACGUGGGUAAUCUGCCCUGAAGUGGGGAAUAACACCGGGAAACCGGUGCUAAUACCGCAUAUGAUCACGGUGUCUGCGGACACAGGGAUGAAAGGAGCAAUUCGCUUCAGGAGGAGCCCGCGGCUGAUUAGCUAGUUGGUGAGGUAAUGGCUCACCAAGGCAACGAUCAGUAUCCGGUCUGAGAGGACGGUCGGACACACUGGAACUGAGACACGGUCCAGACUCCUACGGGAGGCAGCAGUGGGGAAUUUUUCGCAAUGGGGGCAACCCUGACGAAGCAACGCCGCGUGGGUGAUGAAGUCUCUUGGGACGUAAAACCCUUACGACAGGGAAGAAACCGCAAGGUUGACGGUACCUGUAGAAGAAGCCCCGGCUAACUCCGUGCCAGCAGCCGCCGUAA